Non-coding RNA from Oryzias latipes (Japanese medaka), 1408 nucleotides. The record is from RefSeq and is a predicted model, not a curated record. NCBI's taxonomy places the organism in Eukaryota, Metazoa, Chordata, Actinopteri, Beloniformes, Adrianichthyidae.
GAACUGAGUGACUCCUCCCCCUGGAGGGGGGGAGGGGCAGGUUACUGGUGGAACCGGUUGGCUUCAGGGAGCCAGAAACAAACAUUUAUUACUCAGUCAUUGUAUAUGUCAGACUAGCCAUUCUGGAUCUGAAACCUUUUUUUAACGUCUUCUUGACAAGGAAAAUGGAUGGAAACUGCUCAGUUGUAGGGGUUAAGUACUGACUAUUCCAUCUGAUUGAGAAGAAGGAAAACAAGUCCCUCCAUCUUUUAGCACAGAAACAGAAACUUUCUCCAUCUUCUCCAACUUCUGACAUUAACUGGAUCAGUGUGGGGGAGUCAUCAGAGUGGAACUUCCUCCUCCUAUAAAAAGUACUUUUCACUGACAAAAUCUCCAGAGGAGCUGCUGAUCUGGAACCAAGUUGGGAUGUUUUCUCUGUUAAAUUAAGGUUUUUUCUUCUAAUCAUUGGUUCUCCUAAAGUGGUCUGCUCUCCAUCGACGGUCCAAGCACAUCUGGGUCAGGACGUGGUUCUGUCAUGUCGAGUGGAACCUCCAUCUGACUUGACGAAUGAGACCUUGGAAUGGACAAAUGGAACAGAUGUUGUUCACGUGUAUCGGAGUAGGAAGGACGACCCAGACCCUCAAGUCCAGAGGUUCAAAGGCCGGACCAUCCUCAACCGCCAGAACCUGAAGGAUGGAAUCGUUUCCCUCACACUGACCAACAUCACCAAGAAGGAUGAAGGAAACUACUCCUUCUGUCUUCGUACGCAGAAGCCGUUCAUGUGUUCUGAUGUCACCUUGACAAAGAUUCUACAGACGGACAAUACGACACACGACCUUCCAGGAUCUGCUCUGAGCUCUGGUGGUAUCGCUGCCAUUGUUGUUGUUUCUGCUGUUGUUGGGGGGAUCCUGGCAUUUAUAUAUUAUAGGAGAAACAGAUUCUGCUUCCAUCGAGGUGAGAACCAUGUUUAAGUCAUUCAUCCAUUUGUUCAGAUAAAAUGAAAACAUAGUUUUAUUUCUUAUUUUAUCCUCAUUUUUAAUCAAGUGAUGAUUUUUAGACUAAAUUUAUCCUCUAAACUAAACUGUACUGAGAUCAAGGUUCUGUAGAAAGAGACUGACUGAAAACUUUGGUUCUGCUUUGCUGUCAGAGUUCAUCACUUUAGUUUGUUUAGAAAAAGUUUGUCUAGAAAAAGUUGAAGAAAACCAGAAAAAAACAAAGUUCAUCAGAAUGUCUUGAUGCUGUUUUUGUGAAAGCUGCUGUAACAGAAUGACAGCAUGCAGAUGAAAUGAUGACCAUGAGUUUUUGUCCUAAAGUGAAUGCUCCCUCUCUGCAGGAAGAGGAGGAGGAACUCUGAGAUUUGAACCAAACUGUGAGGAAAGGGUGCUAACCACUACACCACUGAGCAGCCCAGCACUUACGGAGCAAAAAA